This 401-nucleotide ribosomal RNA is filed under the name uncultured bacterium. RNAcentral's name for it is "partial 16S ribosomal RNA". It matches the Rfam family "Bacterial small subunit ribosomal RNA", at positions 355 to 748 of the family's 1533-position model. The record is from RNAcentral.
UGGGGAAUAUUGCACAAUGGGCGCAAGCCUGAUGCAGCCAUGCCGCGUGUGUGAAGAAGGCCUUCGGUUGUAAAGCACUUUCAGCGAGGAGGAAGGUGGUGAACUUAAUACGUUCAUCAAUUGACGUUACUCGCAGAAGAAGCACCGGCUAACUCCGUGCCAGCAGCCGCGGUAAUACGGGAGGGUGCAAGCGUUAAUCGGAAUUACUGGGCGUAAAGCGCACGCAGGCGGUUUGUUAAGUCAGAUGUGAAAUCCCCGGGCUCAACCUGGGAACUGCAUUUGAAACUGGCAAGCUAGAGUCUCGUAGAGGGGGGUAGAAUUCCAGGUGUAGCGGUGAAAUGCGUAGAGAUCUGGAGGAAUACCGGUGGCGAAGGCGGCCCCCUGGACGAAGACUGACGCUC